CCUACGGGGGGCAGCAGUAGGGAAUUUUCGUCAAUGGGCGCAAGCCUGAACGAGCAAUGCCGCGUGAACGAGGAAGGUCUUCGGAUCGUAAAGUUCUGUUGACGGGGAAAAAGAGCGGAGAGAGGAAAUGAACUCCGAUGGAUAUUACCCUUCGAGGAAGUCACGGCGAACUACGUGCCAGCAGACGCGGUAAUACGGAGGUGGCGAGCGUUAUCCGGAAUGAUUGGGCGUAAGGGUUGCGUAGGCGGCCUGCUAAGUCUGGGGUGAAAGGUACCGGCUGAAGCGGUAUAGGCUCGGGAAACUGGCGGGCUAGUGAGAAGGAGAGGGCGGUGGAACUCCAUGUGUAGCGGUA
Molecule: ribosomal RNA, 352 nt
Filed under: uncultured bacterium
Lineage: Bacteria
Description: partial 16S ribosomal RNA
Rfam family: Bacterial small subunit ribosomal RNA
Source: RNAcentral